GAUGAGCGCUGGCGGCGUGCUUAACACAUGCAAGUCGAACGGUGAAGCAGAGCUUGCUCUGUGGAUCAGUGGCGAACGGGUGAGUAACACGUGAGCAACCUGCCCCUGACUCUGGGAUAAGCGCUGGAAACGGCGUCUAAUACUGGAUAUGAGCUGCGACCGCAUGGUCAGCAGUUGGAAAGAUUUUUCGGUCUGGGAUGGGCUCACGGCCUAUCAGCUUGUUGGUGAGGUAAUGGCUCACCAAGGCGUCGACGGGUAGCCGGCCUGAGAGGGUGACCGGCCACACUGGGACUGAGACACGGCCCAGACUCCUACGGGAGGCAGCAGUGGGGAAUAUUGCACAAUGGGCGAAAGCCUGAUGCAGCAACGCCGCGUGAGGGAUGACGGCCUUCGGGUUGUAAACCUCUUUUAGCAGGGAAGAAGCGAAAGCGACGGUACCUGCAGAAAAAGCGCCGGCUAACUACGUG
RNAcentral lists this ribosomal RNA (467 nucleotides) under uncultured bacterium. RNAcentral's name for it is "partial 16S ribosomal RNA". It matches the Rfam family "Bacterial small subunit ribosomal RNA", at positions 28 to 507 of the family's 1533-position model. The record is from RNAcentral.